Magnolia sinica is the source of this 1249-nucleotide RNA transcript. RefSeq lists it as uncharacterized. The transcript is spliced from 3 exons. NCBI's taxonomy places the organism in Eukaryota, Viridiplantae, Streptophyta, Magnoliopsida, Magnoliales, Magnoliaceae. The record is from RefSeq and is a predicted model, not a curated record.
UUCCAUGGUUACGCUAUCCUAUCCUACCGGUGCAUUUUAGCCUUUUCCGUAGUUUACACUAUCCUAACCUACUGGUGCACGUUAGUCUGUCCCUGUUCAAUUAUCAUUUUUCAUUCACAGCCCCUGCAGAGAUGCACGUCUAUAAAAAAAAGCCAGAAAAAACCAGAAAACUCCUCUCUUAUGAGAGUCGAAGGCAGUGCUUGUCAUUUCCAUGGAAAUCUUCACAGAAAACCCUAGAUCUUUCAAGAUGGAUUGGAAAUCGCCGCAGGCUUCCAAGCUCAAAUCCUCCAAGAAGCUCUUCGAAUUCCAAGCCCAGUCAUAGCACUUCUACUACUUAUACAAGACAGUCCUUUUUCUCUCUCUCUCAUCGAUACCUUGAAAGAAGAAAAAGAAAAGAAAAAAGCAAAAAAAAAAAUCAAAAUCGAAAGCGCUCGUAUUUCGAUCAGACAGAGGCGAGCAAUUCAAUCUCUCUUUUCCUCAUUUUGGAUCUUCGAUUGGAGGAAUCGAAUCGAAGAAGAAGCUCGAUCUUACAGGUGUCACUCCCUUCCUUUUCUCUUGGGUUACCAGCCUACUAUAUUCUAGCUUCAUCUGAGUCUUCUUCUAAUUUAUCACGUUAGGAUGGUGUAAGGUGAAUGUUAACUUGGCUGGACUGCCUGCACUAGUGUUGCCAUGUGGAUUGAUUGAAGGUGGACCCGCCGGCCUUCCUGUUGGACUUCAAAUGAUUGGUGUAACCUUUGAUGAGGUAUUGAACUGCCUUUCUUGUUUCUGAGAACAUGCUGUUUCUGGUUCAAUGACUGGGAAUUGAAGACCAAUCAUGAGAAAGGAAAAGUAGGAAACGAUGGGGAGGGAGGAAGGGAAGAGGAGAAUGUUAAGAAACAGAGAGAUUGCGAUGCAUGGAGGUCAGGGAAGGUUUUGUUUUGGGGGAACAAUGUGAAGGAAGGAGACUAUUGGGUGAGAGUGGAUACUGUAGAAUGUGGAGGCAAAUAGAUAAAGGAUGGUAGAGGCGGAAAUUUAGGAUACAUAGGAGAGAGAAUAGAUAAAGGAUGGUGAGAGUGGAUGCAAGUCAGUUCAAUAGUGCAUCCGUGCGCAGAGACUUAACUAAUUUGAAGUUCGAAUGGUUUAACUAAUUUGAAGUUCGAUUGGUUUUUUUAGAGUGACUUACUAUACCACUCCAUUGAUGUUUGCAUGUUUGAAAAUAUAUUCUCUUCAUUCAAUAAGCGUAUGUUACUUUAAGUGGUUUCAGCCAUCU